UAGUCACACGCUGUAAACGAUGUCGACUUGGAGGUUGUUCCCUUGAGGAGUGGCUUCCGGAGCUAACGCGUUAAGUCGACCGCCUGGGGAGUACGGCCGCAAGGUUAAAACUCAAAUGAAUUGACGGGGGCCCGCACAAGCGGUGGAGCAUGUGGUUUAAUUCGAUGCAACGCGAAGAACCUUACCUACUCUUGACAUCCAGAGAACUUAGCAGAGAUGCUUUGGUGCCUUCGGGAACUCUGAGACAGGUGCUGCAUGGCUGUCGUCAGCUCGUGUUGUGAAAUGUUGGGUUAAGUCCCGCAACGAGCGCAACCCUUAUCCUUUGUUGCCAGCGAUUCGGUCGGGAACUCAAAGGAGACUGCCAGUGAUAAACUGGAGGAAGGUGGGGAUGACGUCAAGUCAUCAUGGCCCUUACGAGUAGGGCUACACACGUGCUACAAUGGCAUAUACAAAGAGAAGCGACCUCGCGAGAGCAAGCGGACCUCAUAAAGUAUGUCGUAGUCCGGAUUGGAGUCUGCAACUCGACUCCAUGAAGUCGGAAUCGCUAGUAAUCGUAGAUCAGAAUGCUACGGUGAAUACGUUCCCGGGCCUUGUACACACCGCCCGUCACACCAUGGGAGUGGGUUGCAAAAGAAGUAGGUAGCUUAAC
Molecule: ribosomal RNA, 649 nt
Filed under: bacterium YG-78
Lineage: Bacteria
Description: bacterial SSU rRNA
Rfam family: Bacterial small subunit ribosomal RNA
Source: RNAcentral